AUGCUGGAGGUAUCAGAAGUGCGAAUGCUGACAUAAGUAACGAUAAAGCGGGUGAAAAGCCCGCUCGCCGGAAGACCAAGGGUUCCUGUCCAACGUUAAUCGGGGCAGGGUGAGUCGACCCCUAAGGCGAGGCCGAAAGGCGUAGUCGAUGGGAAACAGGUUAAUAUUCCUGUACUUGGUGUUACUGCGAAGGGGGGACGGAGAAGGCUAUGUUGGCCGGGCGACGGUUGUCCCGGUUUAAGCGUGUAGGCUGGUUUUCCAGGCAAAUCCGGAAAAUCAAGGCUGAGGCGUGAUGACGAGGCACUACGGUGCUGAAGCAACAAAUGCCCUGCUUCCAGGAAAAGCCUCUAAGCAUCAGGUAACAUCAAAUCGUACCCCAAACCGACACAGGUGGUCAGGUAGAGAAUACCAAGGCGCUUGAGAGAACUCGGGUGAAGGAACUAGGCAAAAUGGUGCCGUAACUUCGGGAGAAGGCACGCUGAUAUGUAGGUGAAGUCCCUCGCGGAUGGAGCUGAAAUCAGUCGAAGAUACCAGCUGGCUGCAACUGUUUAUUAAAAACACAGCACUGUGCAAACACGAAAGUGGACGUAUACGGUGUGACGCCUGCCCGGUGCCGGAAGGUUAAUUGAUGGGGUCAGCGCAAGCGAAGCUCUUGAUCGAAGCCCCGGUAAACGGCGGCCGUAACUAUAACGGUCCUAAGGUAGCGAAAUUCCUUGUCGGGUAAGUUCCGACCUGCACGAAUGGCGUAAUGAUGGCCAGGCUGUCUCCACCCGAGACUCAGUGAAAUUGAACUCGCUGUGAAGAUGCAGUGUACCCGCGGCAAGACGGAAAGACCCCGUGAACCUUUACUAUAGCUUGACACUGAACAUUGAGCCUUGAUGUGUAGGAUAGGUGGGAGGCUUUGAAGUGUGGACGCCAGUCUGCAUGGAGCCGACCUUGAAAUACCACCCUUUAAUGUUUGAUGUUCUAACGUUGACCCGUAAUCCGGGUUGCGGACAGUGUCUGGUGGGUAGUUUGACUGGGGCGGUCUCCUCCUAAAGAGUAACGGAGGAGCACGAAGGUUGGCUAAUCCUGGUCGGACAUCAGGAGGUUAGUGCAAUGGCAUAAGCCAGCUUGACUGCGAGCGUGACGGCGCGAGCAGGUGCGAAAGCAGGUCAUAGUGAUCCGGUGGUUCUGAAUGGAAGGGCCAUCGCUCAACGGAUAAAAGGUACUCCGGGGAUAACAGGCUGAUACCGCCCAAGAGUUCAUAUCGACGGCGGUGUUUGGCACCUCGAUGUCGGCUCAUCACAUCCUGGGGCUGAAGUAGGUCCCAAGGGUAUGGCUGUUCGCCAUUUAAAGUGGUACGCGAGCUGGGUUUAGAACGUCGUGAGACAGUUCGGUCCCUAUCUGCCGUGGGCGCUGGAGAAUUGAGGGGGGCUGCUCCUAGUACGAGAGGACCGGAGUGGACGCAUCACUGGUGUUCGGGUUGUCAUGCCAAUGGCACUGCCCGGUAGCUAAAUGCGGAAGAGAUAAGUGCUGAAAGCAUCUAAGCACGAAACUUGCCCCGAGAUGAGUUCUCCCUGACUCCUUGAGAGUCCUGAAGGAACGUUGAAGACGACGACGUUGAUAGGCCGGGUGUGUAAGCGCAGCGAUGCGUUGAGCUAACCGGUACUAAUGAACCGUGAGGCUUAACCUUACAACGCCGAAG
This 1687-nucleotide ribosomal RNA is filed under the name Escherichia coli. RNAcentral describes it as "bacterial LSU rRNA". It matches the Rfam family "Bacterial large subunit ribosomal RNA", at positions 1270 to 2925 of the family's 2925-position model. Lineage: Bacteria; Pseudomonadati; Pseudomonadota; Gammaproteobacteria; Enterobacterales; Enterobacteriaceae. The record is from RNAcentral.